UGUUACCCAUGCAGGCCAAAGAUAGAUGCAUUGCUUCCACGUGAAAAGGCUGGUCUGAAGCACUCGGACUUUAAAAUCCAUCAAUCGACUAUAACUUAGGGGUUCUCUGAACUGUGCACAGCAAUCGGCACAAAAUCCUACCCACUUCAAGGACUUCAAACUACAGGAAUUUUUAGGCCUCCCACCGCAGAUACACACCGCAACGACACUGUGUGACUGGUAUAGAAGAACGACAUACAGAAGACAUACAAAAAAUGAGAGCUAUAUUGUGCGUAUGCGCCUUGGCGCUCUUCUGUGAGGCAGCCAUUGGUUUGCCCAACGUCAAUGCAAGAGACGAGAUUGACGACGUCCUGGACCGUACCCCCAGCUGCAUAGCGGUCUGCUAUCCAUGUUUGAAAUACAUCCAAAACUUGAACACUUAUAACUGUAUGAAUGGUUGUUAUGGUGGUCCGAUGAAUGGCGGCACCUACUUUAAUUUGUUUGUUUAUUGCGUCAUCCUUGUUGGCUCAUAAAGAUUUCCCACUGGUGAUUCUAACAUAUACACAUCUUAGAGACAGGACAUAGUACCCCCUUACAUUAUUUAUGACAAAAGACCACCCCAACCUUAAAUUUAGCCUGAGUACGCGAUCGCCAGUGCUAACAAAUAUGGUACAAUCUGAUUUUGUGUGUGUGGAGUCUCUCGACUUGUAUACCCUAUAUACAAGCUACAUAAUUUAACGGCUACUUUGAUGUGCUGACCAUAACCCACAUGUGGGGUGAUUUUCUUUCAGGGACAUCACCGGUUACCCCGCAUGUGAAAUCUAUAGAAAAACAUCACCCCAAAUGUGCAAUCUUUAGAAAAAGGGAUAAAAGGAACAUCACCCCACAUGUCUCAUCUUUCUUGUCGUCCGUACAGAAUUGAAGAUCGACAGCCUAUUAAAAGAGAAACAAAUAUUUUUACCUCCGCAAAUGACUGUCUGAACACUUUAUGUAGGAUUUUUCAACGUCUGUACUGGUUGGGUAUCAAAGCUGGAAUAUCGUGAUACGGAUUACGUCUUUGCAACCUUAAAAGUCUUAAAACAUGCUUGACAAAAUGGGAAAUAUGUUUGCCUAUUAAUGAAAAGGAAUGCCCGAUCAACCUCUUACUUCUGGUUAAGACGAAAUUGAAUUAACAACGCGAUACUUUUAAUUUGAAUGCAUCUUUUACAGAGUCGAGUGAAGCUAAAAGGCGAUAAAUUGCUCAGAUAGUGAAAUUGAAUGAUUAUUUUUGAUUGUCGAAUGACGACCUGCGUGUUAAAUUGAAUGAAAACUUCGUGAAGUUUGGCGGGAAAACCUAUGUUAACACUGCUUUAACGUUAAGGUGAAAUGAACACUACAGAUUGGAGUGAAAAUCGUCGCAGAGCUGACAUACCACGACGGAUAAGCGAAAACCUAUUUCAAGUAAUUCGCAUUUGAAGUUGGACAUUUUUUUCG
Long non-coding RNA from Patiria miniata (bat star), 1452 nucleotides. RefSeq lists it as uncharacterized. Lineage: Eukaryota; Metazoa; Echinodermata; Asteroidea; Valvatida; Asterinidae. The record is from RefSeq and is a predicted model, not a curated record. The transcript has 3 exons.